GUUUGAUCCUGGCUCAGAUUGAACGCUGGCGGCAUGCCUUACACAUGCAAGUCGAACGGCAGCAUGAUCUAGCUUGCUAGAUUGAUGGCGAGUGGCGAACGGGUGAGUAAUACAUCGGAACGUGCCCUGUAGUGGGGGAUAACUAGUCGAAAGAUUAGCUAAUACCGCAUACGACCUGAGGGUGAAAGUGGGGGACCGCAAGGCCUCAUGCUAUAGGAGCGGCCGAUGUCUGAUUAGCUAGUUGGUGAGGUAAAGGCUCACCAAGGCGACGAUCAGUAGCUGGUCUGAGAGGACGAUCAGCCACACUGGGACUGAGACACGGCCCAGACUCCUACGGGAGGCAGCAGUGGGGAAUUUUGGACAAUGGGCGAAAGCCUGAUCCAGCAAUGCCGCGUGUGUGAAGAAGGCCUUCGGGUUGUAAAGCACUUUUGUCCGGAAAGAAAUGGCUCUGGUUAAUACCUGGGGUCGAUGACGGUACCGGAAGAAUAAGGACCGGCUAACUACGUGCCAGCAGCCGCGGUAAUACGUAGGGUCCAAGCGUUAAUCGGAAUUACUGGGCGUAAAGCGUGCGCAGGCGGUUGUGCAAGACCGAUGUGAAAUCCCCGAGCUUAACUUGGGAAUUGCAUUGGUGACUGCACGGCUAGAGUGUGUCAGAGGGGGGUAGAAUUCCACGUGUAGCANUGAAAUGCGUANAGAUGUGGAGGAAUACCGAUGGCGAAGGCAGCCCCCUGGGAUAACACUGACGCUCAUGCACGAAAGCGUGGGGAGCAAACAGGAUUAGAUACCCUGGUAGUCCACGCCCUAAACGAUGUCNACUAGUUGUUGGGGAUUCAUUUCCUUUANUAACGUANCUAACNCNUGAANUUGACCGCCUGGG
RNAcentral lists this ribosomal RNA (877 nucleotides) under uncultured bacterium. RNAcentral describes it as "bacterial SSU rRNA". It matches the Rfam family "Bacterial small subunit ribosomal RNA", at positions 11 to 877 of the family's 1533-position model. The record is from RNAcentral.